This 2236-nucleotide long non-coding RNA is filed under the name Mus musculus (house mouse). RNAcentral's name for it is "long non-coding RNA chr16:6888718-6890954". The record is from RNAcentral. Lineage: Eukaryota; Metazoa; Chordata; Mammalia; Rodentia; Muridae.
GCUUUGUCUCUCUUUCUUUCUUUCUUUCUUUCUUUCUUUCUUUCUUUCUUUCUUUCUUUCUUUCUUUCUUUCUUUCUUUUUUUCUUUCUUCCUUCCUUCCUUCUCUCUCUCUCUCUCUCUCUCUCUCUCUCUCUCUCUCUCUCUCUUCUUUCUUUCUUUCUUUUAUUUUUUUGUGAAUGAAUGAACUUGUCCUCAUUCCCAUGUCAAUUUGUUGGCAGUAUCUGAAUCAAUAUAUCCUAUUUUAAAACCCUUAAAGCACAAAAUUCUCAGUGGUAACUCAUACAAGAAUUAUUGAAUUGGGAGUUAGGGGAUCAAAAGAUGAGUCAGAAAUUACUUAUAGGGGAUGUGGCAUGAUGCUGCCCAGUGCCCAGUAUGUAUGAUUUUAUUUUAUCUUAUUUGCAUUCUCAUACGUGGCUCCCAAGACCCCAAUCUCCAAUGAUUUUUUUCCAUGAACAAAGCCCUGUGAGGUUCUUUUGUGGAAUAAUUCCAUAGGAAAUUGCUAUUUCAUGCAUGGCUUCCAAGACUCACAGCCCAAGGUAGGAGUGUAGAGAAGAGGAGGGUGUGAGGAUGAAGCUCAGCUGAAAGUCAGGCUGGAGCCUCUCACCUCCAGAGCUUUGCCAGGAAGUUCCCUCAGCAGACCCCGGGAACUCCGUGUGGUUAGUGAACCAGCUCUGAGUCAUCUCAGUCAAGGAGGCUCCGGAUGUCUCUGAAUAGUGUGUCUAGACUUACAGUCUGCUGGGGAGGGAGUAGGAGGAUCCUGAGAGAAGACUAGGAAAUGAUGGGUGGGUGUUUGUGCUGGUCUCAGAUUACUUCCUGUCCUUCAUAUCUUAAAUACCCAGAGAGUUAAUUUCAGGUCAUCUACUUUGAUGUUUAUCGGUUUCACAGAGCCUACAGGAUGCUAGACACAGAGCUUGGUUCUGGGAAUAGAAAGCUGACAAGGGCUCUUCUCUGAUGGACCUCUCUGAUGGGAGAGUUAUAUCUUGUCACAGAGUAAUCUGAUUAAAGUGGUGAGGGGUGUUACAAAGAUAUAUAAUCAGGUCCAUGUACAUAGAAUGGUACAUGUUCAAAACCAUAAGGCUUAGGAACUGAACUUCAUUAGAGAGAGCCAUUGAUGAUUUUUCUUAUUUUUGUUUCUUUAGUGCUGCUUUGACAGUUUGAUAUUUAUAUAUAAUGAAUUCCAACUGCUUUUAGCCCUGUACCCUCUUGUGCACCCCUCCACUUCCAAGAAGUCCUCUCUGACUUUCAUGGUCUUCCUUUCUUGUGAGGUUAUUUGGGCUUGCCUGCAUUAGAAUGGGUGAGGGUUCAUGUGCUGCAUCACAGGCAACUUAACAAUGACUACACCACUAAAGAAACUCAAAUACUCCACCAGCAAUGACUUACUGCCAAUGGUCAGUAUCUCAGGGAUGGGUAGAGCUCAUGUGUUGAUGGGUUCCUGCUGCUUCUAUCAUGUGUGGUAACCUCAUGCAGUGACCUUUUGAUUACAAUGCCAGGUCUUGCCCAGAAGGUGCCCUUCCAUGGUGUGCCUCUGUGUCUCCUAGCUCUGACACUUUUUUGCUACUUCUUCCAUGAUGUUUUCUGAGCUGAGGAGGAGGAGGAGGAGAUACAAAUAUCCUGUUUAGGAUCACAUAUUACUUUCUCCUGGCAGGAUGGACGAAUUGUAACAGUGGAGACCUGAUAAAGGACUAGCAGUAGACAGGUCAACAUCAUUUUCUUUAGACUGAGUUAAACUAGUCUGACUUUACAAAAACAAAAUACACCAAAGUGUUUCUUGGCUCAAGUUGUUUGUGUAUCAUCCUUUCUUCCACUUUGUUUUCUCUCUUCCUCCUUUCUUCCACUUUGUUCUCUCUCUCUCUCUCUCUCUCUCUCUCUCUCUCUCUCUCUCUCUCUCUCUCUCUCUCUCUCAUCUGAUUAGAGCCACUACUAUCUUUCAUGUGAUAAUAUUCAAGGCAUCAAUCCUACCAUCUUGGACAAGGAUAUAAGGGAGCUUGGGCGAGAUUAGGCUCCUGCUUUUAUCACAAGAUUCAUAUAGUAACUAACCAGGAUUCUACAAGGACUCUCCCAGUCUCUGCUGUAAGUAUGUGCUUCUACUUAGUCAAAGACAUCCCACAAUGCCUCAUUCCUGGAAAGUACAUAUUACUCAAUACUGCCAUUGGAAGACCAAGCCACCAACAUACCAAAACCUCGGUAAACUUCCACAAUGUUAAUUACAGCAGUGCUGGCCCAGUUUAGCUUCCCC